RNAcentral lists this ribosomal RNA (253 nucleotides) under uncultured bacterium. RNAcentral describes it as "partial 16S ribosomal RNA". It matches the Rfam family "Bacterial small subunit ribosomal RNA", at positions 524 to 776 of the family's 1533-position model. The record is from RNAcentral.
UACGUAGGGUGCGAGCGUUGUCCGGAAUUACUGGGCGUAAAGAGCUCGUAGGUGGUUUGUCGCGUUGUUCGUGAAAACUCACAGCUCAACUGUGGGCGUGCGGGCGAUACGGGCAGACUGGAGUACUGCAGGGGAGACUGGAAUUCCUGGUGUAGCGGUGGAAUGCGCAGAUAUCAGGAGGAACACCAAUGGCGAAGGCAGCUCGCUGGGACGGUACUGACGCUGAGGCGCGAAAGCGUGGGGAGCAAACAGG